GCCCGGCUUUGGGAUAGCCACCGGAAACGGUGAUUAAUACCGGAUAUGACCACUUUCUGCAUGGAUGGUGGUGGAAAGUUUUUCGGCCAGGGAUGUGCUCGCGGCCUAUCAGCUUGAUGGUGAGGUAAUGGCUCACCAUGGCUUCGACGGGGAGCCGGCCUGAGAGGGUGACCGGCCACACUGGGACUGAGACACGGCCCAGACUCCUACGGGAGGCAGCAGUGGGGAAUAUUGGACAAUGGGCGGAAGCCUGAUCCAGCAACGCCGCGUGAGGGAUGACGGCCUUCGGGUUGUAAACCUCUUUCAGCAGGGACGAAGCGCAAGUGACGGUACCUGCAGAAGAAGCACCGGCCAACUACGUGCCAGCAGCCGCGGUAAUCGUAGGGUGCGAGCGUUGUCCGGAAUUAUUGGGCGUAAAGGGCUCGAGCCGGUUUGUCGCGUCGGGAGUAAAACGCCGUGCUUAACACGGCGCUUGCUUUCCUACGGGCAGAUAGAGGAUUCAGGGGAGAACGGAAUUCCUGGUGUAGCGGUGAAAUGCGCAAUAUCAGGAGGAACCCGGUGGCGAAGGCGGUUCUCUGGGAAUGACCUGCGCUGAGGAGCGAAGGUGGGGGGAGCGAACAGGAUAGAUACCCUGGUAGUCCAACCGUAAACGUUGGGCGCUAGGUGUGGGGUCCAUUCCACGGAUUCCGGCCAGCUACGCAUUAAGCGCCCGCCUGGGGAGUACGGCCGCAAGGCUAAACUCAAGGAAUUGACGGGGGCCCGCACAAGCGGGGAGCAUGCGAUUAAUUCGAUGCAACCGAAGAACCUUACCUGGGUUUGACAUACACCUGCCGUCCGAAU
RNAcentral lists this ribosomal RNA (840 nucleotides) under Nocardioides ganghwensis. Its description in RNAcentral is "bacterial SSU rRNA". It matches the Rfam family "Bacterial small subunit ribosomal RNA", at positions 130 to 1006 of the family's 1533-position model. The record is from RNAcentral. Lineage: Bacteria; Bacillati; Actinomycetota; Actinomycetes; Propionibacteriales; Nocardioidaceae.